Molecule: ribosomal RNA, 399 nt
Filed under: uncultured bacterium
Lineage: Bacteria
Description: bacterial SSU rRNA
Rfam family: Bacterial small subunit ribosomal RNA
Source: RNAcentral
AACGAACGCUGGCGGCAGGCCUAACACAUGCAAGUCGAACGCCGUAGCAAUACGGAGUGGCAGACGGGUGAGUAACACGUGGGAACGUACCCUUCGGUUCGGAAUAACUCAGGGAAACUUGAGCUAAUACCGGAUACGUCCGAGAGGAGAAAGAUUUAUCGCCGAGGGAUCGGCCCGCGUCUGAUUAGCUUGUUGGUGAGGUAACGGCUCACCAAGGCGACGAUCAGUAGCUGGUCNGAGAGGAUGAUCAGCCACAUUGGGACUGAGACACGGCCCAAACUCCUACGGGAGGCAGCAGUGGGGAAUAUUGGACAAUGGGCGCAAGCCUGAUCCAGCCAUGCCGCGUGAGCGAUGAAGGCCCUAGGGUUGUAAAGCUCUUUUACCCGGGAAGAUAAUGAC